UAAUAAUAAUAAUUAAUUUUCUUAAAGCUGGUCAAUUAGGUUUACUUCACGUUCACAGUUUCACUUGCAAAUUUAAAUAAAAAAUUUAUUCACUCUCCCCCCGUGUCUCUCUCUAAAAGCUAGAGAGAGAAAGUAGAUAUCGUCCAACAUCGCUUCCUCCAAACAAACCCACAUCGCCGUUUCUUCCAAACAACCAAAUCGAUGUUUCCGGCUUCUUGCAACGAAAUAGGAUAAUUCUCUCAACCUCCGUUCUCAAUCUUCAAAUCCUUUCCUGUAAUUCAAAUUCGUUAUCUCUUCAUUGAAUCCUAUGUUUCAAUUGGUUACAGGACAUCAUGUUUUGGGAGACCCUAGUUUGUUGAUGAGUUGAUUAUCAGCGAAAUUGAUUCUCGUGUUGGAGGUGAACUUUCUCUACAAUAUCGUUGUUUUAGCUGGAUCUUCGAUGAUUCUGCCAGGCCAGGCCAACCUCAGAUCUUCAACCGCGUUCUAAGAGUUU
Molecule: long non-coding RNA, 493 nt
Organism: Rosa rugosa (rugosa rose)
Lineage: Eukaryota; Viridiplantae; Streptophyta; Magnoliopsida; Rosales; Rosaceae
Exons: 3
Source: RefSeq, a predicted model, not a curated record